This 497-nucleotide ribosomal RNA is filed under the name uncultured bacterium. Its description in RNAcentral is "partial 16S ribosomal RNA". It matches the Rfam family "Bacterial small subunit ribosomal RNA", at positions 28 to 507 of the family's 1533-position model. The record is from RNAcentral.
GACGAACGCUGGCGGCGUGCCUAAUACAUGCAAGUUGAGCGCUGAAGGUUGGUACUUGUACCAACUGGAUGAGCAGCGAACGGGUGAGUAACGCGUGGGGAAUCUGCCUUUGAGCGGGGGACAACAUUUGGAAACGAAUGCUAAUACCGCAUAAAAACUUUAAACACAAGUUUUAAGUUUGAAAGAUGCAAUUGCAUCACUCAAAGAUGAUCCCGCGUUGUAUUAGCUAGUUGGUGAGGUAAAGGCUCACCAAGGCGAUGAUACAUAGCCGACCUGAGAGGGUGAUCGGCAACAUUGGGACUGAGACACGGCCCAAACUCCUACGAGAGGCAGCAGUAGGGAAUCUUCGGCAAUGGACGAAAGUCUGACCGAGCAACGCCGCGUGAGUGACGAAGGUUUUCGGAUCGUAAAACUCUGUUGGUAGAGAAGAACGUUGGUGAGAGUGGAAAGCUCAUCAAGUGACGGUAACUACCCAGAAAGGGACGGCUAACUACGUG